Numida meleagris (helmeted guineafowl) is the source of this 2424-nucleotide long non-coding RNA. RefSeq lists it as uncharacterized. Lineage: Eukaryota; Metazoa; Chordata; Aves; Galliformes; Numididae. The record is from RefSeq and is a predicted model, not a curated record. The transcript has 2 exons.
AGUGCGGGGCCGGGCACCACUUCCACAUGGCCACCUCUUCCUCAGGGUGCAGCAUGAUGAUGUCACAGUGUGGGACAGCGCAUGGGUCGCGCAGCGCGCUGCUAGAGCAACGGGUGGGUGCAUGCGCAGGCGGUGAGGUGCUGUUGCCGUGGAGAUGUUUUCACGCGUGUGCUGUCGCCGCAGAGACGGCUUCACAUGCGUGCAAUGAGCAAGAGCGCGCUGUGGCCAUGGCAACGCAGCCUACACGCCCGGCCUGAAGCCCGAGUGGGCCCCGAGGGGCAGUGGGGGGCGAAGAAGACUGGGAGGGGUGGGGGGGGAGAAUGGAGAGCCCUCAGGUAGGGGAGGGGCUGGGGGAGAGCAGAGCUCUGGGGAUGGCGGUGGUGAGUCGGGCUGUGGGGUGGGAGAUCCGCAGCAAGAUGCGGCAAAACAAUGGGAUCUGGGCAGCACACGGAGAUACGGGAAAAACAACACAGGGAUCUAGACAACACAGUGAGAUCUAGACUGAAAGAAAGGGCAAAAAGAAAGAAAGGAAGAAAGAAAGAAAGGAGAGAAAGAAAGGAGAGAGAGAAAGAAGAAGUAAAGAAAGAAAGAAAGAAAAGAAGGAAGGAAGGAAGGAAAGGAGAAUCUCUGUCCUUUAUUGGACACAGAGGUGAACGCAGUGACCAAGGAUCAGGAUAGGGAUGAGGUACUCAAUGCCUUCUUUGCCUCAGUCUUUAAUAGUAAGACUAGUUGUUCCCUGGGCACACAGCCCCUUGUGCUGGAGGAUAGGGAUGGGGAACAGAAUAGGCCCUGCAUAACCCAUGAGGAAAUAAAUGGUUCUUGACCUGCUUCGAAAGCUAGACACACACAAGCCCAUGGGGCCAGAUGGAUUGCACCCUAGAGUGCUGAGGGAGUAACCGGAUGUGGUUGCCAAACCGCUCUACAUCAUCCUUCAGCAGUCCUGGCUAACCAGGGAUAUCCCACUGGACUGGAGACUGGCAAAUGUGAAUCCCCCCUUCAAAAAGGGCUGGAAUGGUGAUCCCGGUAGCUGCAGACCUAUCAGUCUCACAUCGGGAACAGGGAAGGUUAUGGAACGGAUGAUCUCGGAAGCCAUCAUGGAAUGAUAGGUCCUGCUUGACAAACUUGAUUUCAUUCUAUGACAAGGUGACCAGCUUAGCGGAUGAAGGUAAGGCUGUUGAUGUAGUCUACCUGGACUUCAGUAAAGUCUGACACUGUCCCCCACAGCAUCCUCAUGGAGAAGCUGGCUGCUCGUGGUUUGGAUGGGCACAUGCUCUGCUGGGUGAAACACUGGCUGUGUGGCUGGGCCCGAAGAGCUGUGGUCAAUGGAGUUAAAUCCAGUUGGUGUCCAGUCACGAGCCGUGUCCCCCAGGGCUCGGUGCUGGGGCCUCUUCUAUUCAACAUCUUUAUCAAUGAGAAGGUUGAAUACAUCCUCAGUAAGUUUGCAGAUGACACCAGGUUGGGAGGGAGCGAUCUGCCAGAGGGCAGUAAGGCACUAUAGAGGGACCUGGACAGACCGGAUCGAUGGGCCGAGGCAAACUGUACGGGUUUCAGUUGGGCCAGGCGUCGAGUCCUGCACUUUGGUCACAACAACCCUAGGCAACCGUACAGUCUUGGGAGGAAUGGCUGGAAAGCUGCCUGACAGAGAGGGACCUUGGAGUGCUGAUGGACUGUCAGCUGAAUAUGAGCCAGCAGUGCGCCCAGGUGGCCAGGAAGGCCAAUGGCAUCCUGGCUUGGAUCAGAAAUGGGGUGGUGAGCAGGACUAGAGAAGUCAUCCUGCCCCUGUACUCGGCACUGGUGAGGCCCCACCUCGAGUACUGGGUUCAGAUUUGGGCUCCUACAUACAGAAAGGGCAUUGAGGUGCUGGAGCAGGUCCAAAGAAGGGCAAAAAGGCUUGUGAAGGGCUUGGAGAAUAUGUCCUGUGAGGAGCAAAUGAAGGAACUUAGGCUGUUUAGCCUGGGGAAGAGGAGGCUGAAGAAAGACCUUAUUGCUCUCUUCAAAUACCUGAAAGGUGAUUGCAGCGCGAGCGGGGUUGGUCUCUUCUCACUGGUGACAGGACAGGUUGUGCCAGGGAAGGUAUAGUUUGGGUAUCAGGAAAAACUUCUUCACAGAAAGGGUUUUUAAGCAACGGAUCUUAGAGAGAAGGAAGUGGUGCGGGACCAAAUCAAGGGCCUUGCACAAGUCCAGGGAGACGACAUCAGUUGCCCUCCCAUUGUCCAUCAGUGCUGACACUGCAUCAAAAAAGGCCACCAGGAAGAUCUCCACCAUGAUCUCAAAUCCCUAUGAGGUCGCUGUGACCUACGCACUAGGCAGGUGCAGCAUGGAAACUUCUCACUCUGUAGAGAAGCCCGUGUGAUGACACGACGCACUUCUGGAGAUUUCUCAGCCCGUGUCCUGCACAGAAUAAAGCAAGGUCUCCUCUCUAAA